GAUGAACGCUGGCGGCGUGCCUAAUACAUGCAAGUCGAGCGAACAGAUGAGGAGCUUGCUCCUCUGACGUUAGCGGCGGACGGGUGAGUAACACGUGGAUAACCUACCUAUAAGACUGGGAUAACUUCGGGAAACCGGAGCUAAUACCGGAUAAUAUAUUGAACCGCAUGGUUCAAUAGUUAAAGACGGUUUUGCUGUCACUUAUAGAUGAAUCCGCGCCGCAUUAGCUAGUUGGUAAGGUAACGGCUUACCAAGGCGACGAUGCGUAGCCGACCUGAGAGGGUGGUCGGCCACCCUGGAACUGAGACACGGCCCAGACUCCUACGGGAGGAAGCAGUAGGGAAUCUUACGCAAUGGGGGAAAGCCUGACGGAGCAACGCCGCGUGAGUGAUGAAGGUGUUCGGAUCGUAAAACUCUGUUAUUAGGGAAGAACAAAUGUGUAAGUAACUAUGCACGUCUUGACGGUACCUAAUCAGAAAGCCACGGCUAACUACGUG
RNAcentral lists this ribosomal RNA (497 nucleotides) under uncultured bacterium. RNAcentral describes it as "partial 16S ribosomal RNA". It matches the Rfam family "Bacterial small subunit ribosomal RNA", at positions 28 to 507 of the family's 1533-position model. The record is from RNAcentral.